This 121-nucleotide ribosomal RNA is filed under the name Ochotona princeps (American pika). The record is from RNAcentral. Lineage: Eukaryota; Metazoa; Chordata; Mammalia; Lagomorpha; Ochotonidae.
GUCUAUGGUCAUACCACCCUGAAUGCGCCCAAUCUCGUCUGAUCUCGGAAGCUAAGCAGGGUCGGGCCUGGUUAGGACUUGGAUGGGAAGGGAAUCAGUGGAUGGAAGGGGCAUGUAUACA